GACGAACGCUGGCGGCGCGCCUAACACAUGCAAGUCGAACGGAGCGUGCCGAGCGGAAGCCUUCGGGUGGAAGCAUGGCAUUGCUUAGUGGCGAACGGGUGAGUAACACGUGAGCAACCUGCCUUAAAGUGGGGGACAACAUUUGGAAACGAAUGCUAAUACCGCAUAAGACCACGGAGUCGCAUGGCUCUGAAGCCAAAGGAGCAAUCCGCUUUAAGAUGGGCUCGCGUCCGAUUAGGUAGUUGGUGGGGUAAUGGCUCACCAAGCCAACGAUCGGUCGCCGGACUGAGAGGUUGAUCGGCCACAUUGGGACUGAGAUACGGCCCAGACUCCUACGGGAGGCAGCAGUGGGGAAUAUUGGGCAAUGGGCGCAAGCCUGACCCAGCAACGCCGCGUGAAGGAAGAAGGCUUUCGGGUUGUAAACUUCUUUGACCAGGGAAGAAACAAAUGACGGUACCUGGAAAACAAGCCACGGCUAACUACGUGCCAGCAGCCGCAGUAAGAC
RNAcentral lists this ribosomal RNA (505 nucleotides) under uncultured bacterium. RNAcentral's name for it is "bacterial SSU rRNA". It matches the Rfam family "Bacterial small subunit ribosomal RNA", at positions 28 to 526 of the family's 1533-position model. The record is from RNAcentral.